This 119-nucleotide small nucleolar RNA is filed under the name Myotis davidii. Its description in RNAcentral is "Small nucleolar RNA SNORA68". It matches the Rfam family "Small nucleolar RNA SNORA68". Rfam says of the family: U68 is a member of the H/ACA class of small nucleolar RNAs (snoRNAs) which act as guides in the the modification of uridines to pseudouridines. The record is from Rfam by way of RNAcentral. Lineage: Eukaryota; Metazoa; Chordata; Mammalia; Chiroptera; Vespertilionidae.
AGCACCUAAACCCAAGAACUGCUGUUUGUCAUGGCAGCAGUUUAAACAGUUUAAGCACAACAGAAGCAGAUCCCGUUGCUUUUGGUGGCUGUGCCCCUCAAAGUGGAUUGGGAAAAAAA